GAUGAAGAACGUAGCGAAAUGCGAUAAGUAAUGUGAAUUGCAGAAUUCAGUGAAUCAUCGAAUCUUUGAACGCACAUUGCGCCCGCUAGUAUUCUGGCGGGCAUGCCUGUCCGAGCGUCAUUUCAACCCUCAAGCCCCCGGGCUUGGUGUUGGGGAUCGGCGAGCCUCCGCGCCCGCCGUCCCCUAAAUCUAGUGGCGGUCUCGCUGUAGCUUCCUCUGCGUAGUAGCACACCUCGCACUGGGAAACAGCGCGGCCACGCCGUUGAACCCCCAACUUCUGAACGUUUGACCUCGGAUCAGGUAGGAAUACCCGCUGAACUUAAGCAUAUCAAUAAGCGGAGGA
This 343-nucleotide unclassified non-coding RNA is filed under the name soil metagenome. Its description in RNAcentral is "partial contains 5.8S ribosomal RNA, internal transcribed spacer 2, and large subunit ribosomal RNA". The stretch from base 1 to 120 matches the Rfam family "5.8S ribosomal RNA", at positions 35 to 154 of the family's 154-position model. The record is from RNAcentral.